AGAGUUUGAUCCUGGCUCAGGAUGAACGCUAGCUACAGGCUUAACACAUGCAAGUCGAGGGGAAACGACAUCGAAAGCUUGCUUUUGAUGGGCGUCGACCGGCGCACGGGUGAGUAACGCGUAUCCAACCUGCCCACCACUUGGGGAUAACCUUGCGAAAGUAAGACUAAUACCCAAUGACGUCUCUAGAAGACAUCUGAAAGAGAUUAAAGAUUUAUCGGUGAUGGAUGGGGAUGCGUCUGAUUAGCUUGUUGGCGGGGUAACGGCCACCAAGGCGACGAUCAGUAGGGGUUCUGAGAGGAAGGUCCCCCANAUUGGAACUGAGACACGGUCCAAACUCUUACAGGAGGCA
RNAcentral lists this ribosomal RNA (352 nucleotides) under uncultured bacterium. RNAcentral's name for it is "bacterial SSU rRNA". It matches the Rfam family "Bacterial small subunit ribosomal RNA", at positions 8 to 350 of the family's 1533-position model. The record is from RNAcentral.